AUAAGUGAGGGCAAUCCAGCUGUGACGUGUGUCACCCUAUUGAUCACCAGGUUUAAGUCAGCUACUCUGACUGGGUGGGUGUUCCCUUCCUCCCUCACCCCUCCACGUACGUCCCUCCCAGAGCAGUGCACUCGAUGGAAGAGGACGCCCAUUCCAGAAAAAUGGAGAGUAUCGAUCUUCGAUCAAGGAUACAUGAUAGCUGCAAAGUUAGUAACUUUAGGUGAUCCCUUCAUUAAACAAAAAUCAAUUGUUUAUAGGUAGUCCUCUGCUUACUUUACUAU
RNAcentral lists this small nuclear RNA (281 nucleotides) under Notechis scutatus (mainland tiger snake). RNAcentral's name for it is "7SK RNA (ENSNSUG00000019300.1)". It matches the Rfam family "7SK RNA". From Rfam's summary of the family: 7SK was discovered as an abundant small nuclear RNA in the mid-70s but a possible function has only recently been suggested. Lineage: Eukaryota; Metazoa; Chordata; Lepidosauria; Squamata; Elapidae. The record is from Rfam by way of RNAcentral.